This 496-nucleotide ribosomal RNA is filed under the name uncultured bacterium. RNAcentral's name for it is "partial 16S ribosomal RNA". It matches the Rfam family "Bacterial small subunit ribosomal RNA", at positions 28 to 506 of the family's 1533-position model. The record is from RNAcentral.
GAUGAACGCUGGCGGCGUGCCUAAUACAUGCAAGUCGAGCGAACGGACGAGAAGCUUGCUUCUCUGAUGUUAGCGGCGGACGGGUGAGUAACACGUGGAUAACCUACCUAUAAGACUGGGAUAACUUCGGGAAACCGGAGCUAAUACCGGAUAAUAUUUUGAACCGCAUGGUUCAAAAGUGAAAGACGGUCUUGCUGUCACUUAUAGAUGGAUCCGCGCUGCAUUAGCUAGUUGGUAAGGUAACGGCGUACCAAGGCAACGAUGCAUAGCCGACCUGAGAGGGUGAUCGGCCACACUGGAAGUGAGACACGGUCCAGACUCCGAAGCGAGGCAGCAGCAGGGAAUCUGCCGCAAUGGGCGAAAGCGUGAAGGAGCAACGCCGCGGGAGUGAUGAAGGUCUGCGGAUCGUAAAACUCUGUUAGUAGGGAAGAACAUAUGUGUAAGUAACUGUGCACAUCUGGACGGUACCUAAGCAGAAAGCCACGGCUAAUUCCGU